UUUUAAAGUUGUAAAUAUAAUUUUAGAAAAAAUAUUAUAUCGUAUUUACUUUUAUAUAAUUCUGCAUAAAAGAUACAAUGGUAUGUUUCAAUAAUGAGAUUGUAUUGUGCCUAUUAAUGAGAUAGCUAACUCUUGGAAAGUGCCGCAUUUUUAGUAUGUUUAAUACGUGACAAGAGUGAGAAACGAUAAGUCUGAGUGAAAUGAAAAAGACAUCGGCAUUCGUUGGUUCUCUACGAUGUAUAAGAGAUUCCGUUCGCUUGAAGUAGUUUCAGGAAAUAGUGGGGAUGACUCUGCGUAUAUCGAGGCAAAAAGGUGUCUACUAUUCAGGCACUAUUGUAUAGAGGGGACAAGUUCUAUAUUCUACGUCUAGAGUUACAAAACUAAAAAAAAAUCUCUUAAUGGAGAUUUCAAUUUCAAUUGGGACGACACCUGUUUCACCAGCCGGAAGAUAUUGGACUGAUCGUUUUUCGACGCGUGUUACGGCUAUUAUUAAUUGUCUCACGACACAUGGAUCGGAUGAAAAACGCGUCAGAUAAGCGUAUCAACGCUUGUAUGGUCGAAAUGGUUUUUCUCCAGGGAAGGAAGGCGGCCGGAUGCUAUUGCGCUUGAGCGGAAACUCUUCAUAGUCGAGACGCAUCAUCAUUCGAAAUUCGAACGUUUCGACAGAGGGAUGAAAGAUUGACAAUCUUUUUCACAUUAUUUUGACAGUGACACAAAAUUCUUAUUUUAUUUAAAUUCGAAUAUAAUAAUUCGUCAAAGAAUGAUCAUUCGAGAUAUGAAAGUUUUCGGGGAUGAUACGAAGUAUUUUUCGUUUAUUUCUAAAGAUGCACAAUCAUCAGGAAUUUGAACAUUUCGAUGAAGGAUGACAGAUAUCUUCUUAUCUUUUAGAUAAGAUUUUGACACGAAGUUUUUAUUUUUCUAUUUUUUUAUAUAUAUAA
This is a long non-coding RNA of Apis cerana (Asiatic honeybee), 938 nucleotides long. RefSeq lists it as uncharacterized. The record is from RefSeq and is a predicted model, not a curated record. Lineage: Eukaryota; Metazoa; Arthropoda; Insecta; Hymenoptera; Apidae.